GCCGGGCAUGGUGGUGCAUGCCUGUAGUCCCAGCUACUCAGGAGGCUGAGGCAGGGGAAUCGCUUGAACCUGGGAGGCGGAGAUUGCAGUGAGCCAAGAUCGUGCCACUGCACUCUAGCCUGGGCGACAGAGCGAGACUCCGUCUCAA
RNAcentral lists this small RNA (148 nucleotides) under Papio anubis (olive baboon). RNAcentral describes it as "Metazoan signal recognition particle RNA (ENSPANG00000037414.1)". The record is from Rfam by way of RNAcentral. Lineage: Eukaryota; Metazoa; Chordata; Mammalia; Primates; Cercopithecidae.